RNAcentral lists this ribosomal RNA (467 nucleotides) under uncultured bacterium. Its description in RNAcentral is "partial 16S ribosomal RNA". It matches the Rfam family "Bacterial small subunit ribosomal RNA", at positions 29 to 507 of the family's 1533-position model. The record is from RNAcentral.
ACGAACGCUGGCGGCGUGCUUAACACAUGCAAGUCGAACGGAAAGGCCCUGCUUUUGUGGGGUGCUCGAGUGGCGAACGGGUGAGUAACACGUGAGUAACCUGCCCUUGACUUUGGGAUAACUUCAGGAAACUGGGGCUAAUACCGGAUAGGAGCUCCUGCUGCAUGGUGGGGGUUGGAAAGUUUCGGCGGUUGGGGAUGGACUCGCGGCUUAUCAGCUUGUUGGGGGGGUAGUGGCUUACCAAGGCUUUGACGGGUAGCCGGCCUGAGAGGGUGACCGGCCACAUUGGGACUGAGCUACGGCCCAGACUCCUACGGGAGGCAGCAGUGGGGAAUAUUGCACAAUGGGCGGAAGCCUGAUGCAGCAACGCCGCGUGCGGGAUGACGGCCUUCGGGUUGUAAACCGCUUUCGCCUGUGACGAAGCGUGAGUGACGGUAAUGGGUAAAGAAGCACCGGCUAACUACGUG